Ipomoea triloba (trilobed morning glory) is the source of this 3191-nucleotide long non-coding RNA. RefSeq lists it as uncharacterized. NCBI's taxonomy places the organism in Eukaryota, Viridiplantae, Streptophyta, Magnoliopsida, Solanales, Convolvulaceae. The record is from RefSeq and is a predicted model, not a curated record. The transcript has 3 exons.
AGGAUCAAAUAUCUGUAUUCUUGGAUCUUGCUAUAUGCUGAUGUCUUAAAAACCUAGUAUAUAUAGAAAUUCUGGGAUGUGUUUGUUGAUGUAGAAAUCCCUAGUUCUAUAUGUUUUGGAUGAUAAUCAUUUUUCCAGGCAAUGUGGAGCAACUUGCUCUAAAAGAUGCUGUUUUAGCUAUUUCUUUUUCUUUUUCUCAGAAAAAAAUUAAAAAAAAAAUCAACUGUUAUAGUAUUAUUUAUUGUGGAAAGUUGUAAACUGCAGGAGUGCAGGGUAUAAUACAAAUUCUGACAGUGAAUUUGAUUCGUUGCAGAUGUCUUAUGUUUCCAGCAUGAUUUAGUAUGUGUUGUCUAUGUGUUUCGAUGGAUUUGUAUUUGGGAUUAGAUUCAUAGUGCUUAGGAGCAAUAUAAUGGAGGAAAUGGUUGGAGAGAGCUUUCUUCAGUCCACUCAUGGGUCGGGGAAGGGUUUGAAUUAGCUGCCGACUCAUUCAUUCAAACACAGUAGAUUGAAGUUAGUACGUUACUGUGAAUGUGUGAAUGAUGCGGGAGAUAAGUUUCAUCCUUCCCUCGUCUGUGCUUGGACUGAAGGGAGCUCCCUCUUGCCGUAAUCGUUACUUAUAUGUGUAUGAUUUUGUUGUUUCUGGCGAUUGUGCUUUGUGUAUUUUCUGAUCUUAAGCUUUGGGUUUUGUCUCUUAUGAUUCGAUAUUAUGACAUAUAUAAAUGCAAGUAAUUAUAAUUGAUUUAGUCAGUGGAUUUUGGGGACUAUGGUUGAGAAGCGAUUGGGGUUCAUGGUAAUAAGAUCUUCAAUUUGUGUUCCUUUAAUGGCUCUUUGCUUUUCGUUUUUCCCUAGUAGUAUUUAGCAUGCUGUUGAGAUGAACUGAAUACGAACUUUGCGUUAUUAGUAGGAAUGAUAUCCCGGUCCCUUGCAUUUCAUACAUUAUUAGCCAAGUGUCGAAGAAACUAAACUCAUUUGAAUCAUAUUCUUGCCUGUAAAGUGUUUCUAUAUGUGAUUUUGUGAUUAGAGAGAUGUGGUUUCUUUCCUAUUUAAUGUUUCUUGUUUUCGAUUUCUUCGUAUGUUGUUUGUUGUGCUCGGCAAUGGGAUAAGACCUAAUGAAAAGCUGAUUAUUGGCUUCUGUUUCUUGGUAGUCUGAUGUUAUUGCAGAGUAAAUUGAUCGGUUUAGGCUCUCGAGAGCUUCCAUUUCUGAAGUGGAACUCAGAGAUCGGUCACUGGUAAUUACUUUGACUUUGCUCUGAAACUAAAAUCGAUCUAUUGAUAGAUUUGUGUAGUUUGCUUCCUGGGAGAGUUGUGAUUUGUGAACCGGUAUGUUUUCAACAUCACAACGUUAUUGUGUUGAUCUUUGUGGCACUACUUUUCCUGCGUUGCUUCACUGUUUCAGUCGAACCAAACCCCGACUUUUGCUUUGUUUUUCUUGCUAUUGUUCUCAAUAACUUCUCGUGUUUAGUUUCUUCACCUCAGAGGUCGUUUGGGGUUUUCUCAAAAAUUUAAUUUUUGAUAAAGUAAUUCUGAGUUUUUUUUUAUAUCUUUAUUGCUAGUAACAAUUUGUUUGGAGAAGUAUACACAUGGGAUGUGGUUUGGAUUUACUCAUUUACUUCUCCUGAUUUCGAAGUACCGUAUUCUCAAUUUACUAAAUUUUCAGAAAAAAAAUUGAACUUUCUUCUAAGUACCAAAGGCUUGAUCAAACUAAAACCUAUCUAUCUUUGAUAUGAUGUUAGGUUAUUUGGUUGGAAACCUCUUUUUCAUAUGAUGUAUAGGGCAUUAUAAGACUUGCUAGUUGAUUAAUCUAAUCGAUUCAACUCCAUGUUAGGAGGGAUUUAUAGUUUACUCAAAUCAUUUUUACAUAAAAUAUCAAGCAAGUCUUUGCGAUUGUCUCAUGUGAAAUGUGUAAUACUUUUAAACUAUUAAAAGUAUUACACAUCUCACGAUUUUAUGCGAAAUUUAUUUUGAAAUAGAGUUUUACUACAUGCAUUUUCAAAUACCCAUCAAUUUUACUCACUAUGUGGCGGGUUCUAUUAAGUUAUAUUUUCAUGUGGAUCUCAAUAAAGUGUAUACAUCAAGAUAAUAAAUUGUAACCGAGUCAUUAGUACUAAAAAAAAUUAUAUAUAUCAAAAUUUUGUGUGUAAUAAUAAAAGUUGAGAGUAUAAAUUGGGAGUAAAUAUAAAUUUUUUAAAAAUAUCUAGCAUAUCUUUAAUCUAUAUACAUGGCAUUGGUACUUGUAGCUAAGAAAAUACUUAUUUAUUGAAGUUUAUUGAAAUUUGUGAACAUUUUUCAGAGAAAAUGUGUUCAUGUGGUGUUUCAAGUACAAUGCGGAUGCUAUUGUGUCUAUUACUAUAUUCCACCAACUUUGAUACUCUCCACCAUCCAAUUUUUAUUAUCCAACUUGAUUGCACACACCAACCAAGUUGUACUAAGCUUUUUAAAUGUCAAAAUUAAAAAAAAAAAAAAACUCUUAAAUACACCCGACGAAACAUAUGUUUUUAAACAUUUGUGUUUGGUGCUUAAUCUAGAAAGAAUGCGUAGUUUUGGUGUGUGGUUGUAUUGUAAGGUGUUAUUAAUCUUUUGUGUUUUAUGUAUUGUAAUUAAUUAGUUAUGGUUGGUCAUUAUACUCACUGUUUCAUUUUAUGUGUGAAGUAACGAAGUUUUACCUAUGACUUAAUCAACACGAUUUUUGUCAUUCAAUGUAGUAUCUGUUCAUAGUUACUUUCUCAACCAAAUGAUGCACAAAGAGUCAAUAUCGUCUAUACUGAAGAUCGAACCCACCCUCUCCGAUGUGAGAAUGCAAACGAAUGUUUCUAGACCACAAGGGUCUUUGGCGUCAUUCUAGAAUAUAUAGAAAGCAUGAUCGAUGUUGGGAGAGGAUUGUUUAGGAGGAGACUUGGAAGAUCGACCUCAACACCUUACCAUCAAAAUGUAGCGUCGAGUCAAGUAUAAAAGUAUGGAGUUUUAAUUUAUUCUUUGUGAUUGGUGAAAUCGUUGCCCAAUUGAUCUCUCAAUAUUCUGAAAAUAAGCCAAGUACAGCAACAACUAACAGCUACUCUGAUCUUCUUGGUUGUUUUCCCCUUUGUAUUUUGUUUUUGUGAAGGAGAUUGUUGUUCUGUUAUUAGUUUGUGCAUGAAAACGACAUUUGGCUCCAGCCAACAUAUCUAUCGCCCAUGUAUAGUGACAAGAAGAUA